UUCCGGUUGAUCCUGCCGGACCUGACUGCUAUCGGAUUGAUACUAAGCCAUGCGAGUCUUUGUAGUAAUACAAGGCAGACGGCUCAGUAACACGUAGUCAACCUACCCUAUGGACGAGAAUAAUCUCGGGAAACUGAGCAUAAUUCUUGAUAGAUCAUAAUGCCUGGAAUGGUUUAUGGUUAAAAUGAUUCGUCGCCGUAGGAUGGGACUGCGACCUAUCAGCUUGUUGGUGAGGUAAAGGCCCACCAAGGCGAUUACAGGUACGGGCUCUGAGAGGAGAAGCCCGGAGAUGGGUACUGAGACACGGACCCAGGCCCUAUGGGGCGCAGCAGGCGAGAAAACUUUGCAAUGUGCGAAAGCACGACAAGGUUAAUCCGAGUGAUUUCUGCUAAAGGAAUCUUUUGCCAGUUCUAAAAAUACUAGUGAAUAAGGGGUGGGCAAGUUCUGGUGUCAGCCGCCGCGGUAAAACCAGCACCUCAAGUGGUCAGGAGGAUUAUUGGGCCUAAAGCAUCCGUAGCCUGCUCUGUAAGUUUUCGGUUAAAUCCAUGUGCUCAACGCAUGGGCUGCCGAAAAUACUGCAUAGCUAGGGAGUGGGAGAGGUAGACGGUACUCGGUAGGAAGGGGUAAAAUCCUUUGAUCUAUCGAUGACCACCUGUGGCGAAGGCGGUCUACCAGAACACGUUCGACGGUGAGGGAUGAAAGCUGGGGGAGCAAACCGGAUUAGAUACCCGGGUAGUCCCAGCUGUAAACGAUGCAGACUCGAUGAUGCAAUGGCAUAGAGCUAUUGCAGUAUCGCAGGGAAGCCGUUAAGUUUGCCGCCUGGGAAGUACGUACGCAAGUAUGAAACUUAAAGGAAUUGGCGGGGGAGCACCACAAGGGGUGAAGCCUGCGGUUCAAUUGGAUUCAACGCCGGG
RNAcentral lists this ribosomal RNA (914 nucleotides) under uncultured marine archaeon. Its description in RNAcentral is "bacterial SSU rRNA". It matches the Rfam family "Archaeal small subunit ribosomal RNA", at positions 1 to 922 of the family's 1478-position model. The record is from RNAcentral.